This 468-nucleotide ribosomal RNA is filed under the name uncultured bacterium. RNAcentral's name for it is "partial 16S ribosomal RNA". It matches the Rfam family "Bacterial small subunit ribosomal RNA", at positions 28 to 507 of the family's 1533-position model. The record is from RNAcentral.
GACGAACGCUGGCGGCGUGCUUAACACAUGCAAGUCGAACGGAAAGGCCCUGCUUUUGUGGGGUACUCGAGUGGCGAACGGGUGAGUAACACGUGAGUAACCUGCCCUUGACUUGGGGAUAACUUCAGGAAACUGGGGCUAAUACCGGAUAGGAGCUCCUGCUGCAUGGUGGGGGUGGGAAGGUUCGGCGGUUGGGGAUGGACUCGCGGCUUAUCAGCUUGGUGGGGGGGUAGUGGCUUACCAAGGCUUUGACGGGUAGCCGGCCUGAGAGGGUGACCGGCCACAUUGGGACUGAGAUACGGCCCAGACUCCUACGGGAGGCAGCAGUGGGGAAUAUUGCACAAUGGGUGGAAGCCUGAUGCAGCAACGCCGUGUGCGGGAUGACGGCCUUCGGGUUGUAAACCGCUUUCGCUCAUGACGAAGCUUUGUGUGACGGUAGUGGGUAAAGAAGCACCGGCUAACUACGUG